Molecule: ribosomal RNA, 447 nt
Filed under: uncultured bacterium
Lineage: Bacteria
Description: bacterial SSU rRNA
Rfam family: Bacterial small subunit ribosomal RNA
Source: RNAcentral
UGGGGAAUAUUGGACAAUGGGCGAAAGCCUGAUCCAGCAAUGCCGCGUGAGUGAUGAAGGCCUUAGGGUUGUAAAGCUCUUUUACCAGGGAUGAUAAUGACAGUACCUGGAGAAUAAGCUCCGGCUAACUCCGUGCCAGCAGCCGCGGUAAUACGGAGGGAGCUAGCGUUGUUCGGAAUUACUGGGCGUAAAGCGUGCGUAGGCGGCCAUUCAAGUCAGAGGUGAAAGCCUGGAGCUCAACUCCAGAACUGCCUUUGAAACUAGAUGGCUAGAAUCUUGGAGAGGUGAGUGGAAUUCCUAGUGUAGAGGUGAAAUUCGUAGAUAUUAGGAAGAACACCGGUGGCGAAGGCGGCUCACUGGCUCGAUACUGACACUGAGGUGCGAAAGCGUGGGGAGCAAACAGGAUUAGAUACCCCGGUAGUCCCUGAGCGGGCUGGCAAGGCGCAU